AUUGAACGCUGGCGGCAGGCCUAACACAUGCAAGUCGAGCGGAUGAAGGGAGCUUGCUCCUGGAUUCAGCGGCGGACGGGUGAGUAAUGCCUAGGAAUCUGCCUGGUAGUGGGGGAUAACGUCCGGAAACGGGCGCUAAUACCGCAUACGUCCUGAGGGAGAAAGUGGGGGAUCUUCGGACCUCACGCUAUCAGAUGAGCCUAGGUCGGAUUAGCUAGUUGGUGGGGUAAAGGCCUACCAAGGCGGCGAUCCGUAACUGGUCUGAGAGGAUGAUCAGUCACACUGGAACUGAGACACGGUCCAGACUCCUACGGGAGGCAGCAGUGGGGAAUAUUGGACAAUGGGCGAAAGCCUGAUCCAGCCAUGCCGCGUGUGUGAAGAAGGUCUUCGGAUUGUAAAGCACUUUAAGUUGGGAGGAAGGGCAGUAAGUUAAUACCUUGCUGUUUUGACGUUACCAACAGAAUAAGCACCGGCUAACUCCGUG
This 484-nucleotide ribosomal RNA is filed under the name uncultured bacterium. Its description in RNAcentral is "partial 16S ribosomal RNA". It matches the Rfam family "Bacterial small subunit ribosomal RNA", at positions 30 to 507 of the family's 1533-position model. The record is from RNAcentral.